GGAGGAGGUGAGGCGGUCGCUGUGGGGUUUCCCCACAGAGGAAAGUCCGAACUCCGCAGGGCAGGGAAGCACGCAAGUGCCGCGCGUAAGCGCAGGGAAAGUGCCACAGAGACCAGACCGCCGCAGUUUCUGCGGUAAGGGUGAAACGGUGGGGUAAGAGCCCACCGGCGUUCGGGGUAACCCGACGGACGGGCAAACCCUUCCCGGAGCAAGGUCAAGCAGAAACGCCUUGAGGGUUGCCCGCCCGAAUCC
Molecule: RNase P RNA, 252 nt
Filed under: Planctomycetota bacterium
Lineage: Bacteria; Pseudomonadati; Planctomycetota
Description: Planctomycetes bacterium partial RNase P RNA component class A
Rfam family: Bacterial RNase P class A
About the family: Ribonuclease P (RNase P) is a ubiquitous endoribonuclease, found in archaea, bacteria and eukarya as well as chloroplasts and mitochondria. Its best characterised activity is the generation of mature 5'-ends of tRNAs by cleaving the 5'-leader elements of precursor-tRNAs.
Source: RNAcentral